RNAcentral lists this ribosomal RNA (497 nucleotides) under uncultured bacterium. Its description in RNAcentral is "partial 16S ribosomal RNA". It matches the Rfam family "Bacterial small subunit ribosomal RNA", at positions 28 to 507 of the family's 1533-position model. The record is from RNAcentral.
GACGAACGCUGGCGGCGUGCCUAAUACAUGCAAGUUGAGCGCUGAAGGUUGGUACUUGUUCCAACUGGAUGAGCAGCGAACGGGUGAGUAACGCGUGGGGAAUCUGCCUUUGAGCGGGGGACAACAUUUGGAAACGAAUGCUAAUACCGCAUAAAAACUUUAAACACAAGUUUUAAGUUUGAAAGAUGCAAUUGCAUCACUCAAAGAUGAUCCCGCGUUGUAUUAGCUAGUUGGUGAGGUAAAGGCUCACCAAGGCGAUGAUACAUAGCCGACCCGAGAGGGUGAUCGGCCACAUUGGGACUGGGACACGGCCCAAACUCCUACGGGAGGCAGCAGUAGGGAAUCUUCGGCAAUGGACGAAAGUCUGACCGAGCAACGCCGCGUGAGUAAAGAAGGGUUUCGGAUCGUAAAACUCUGUUGGUAGAGAAGAAAGUUGGUGAGAGUGGAAAGCUCAUCAAGUGACGGUAACUACCCAGAAGGGGACGGCUAACUACGUG